AGGACUUUCCAGCCUGAGCUGGUCCUUCAGGCUGCCAGGCUCUGGCACUCCGCGCUUUGCUUUGAGAACUGGCGUUGGGCACCCCAAGACGGCUCUCUGCAGCCUCGGUGGUGGAGGCGGUUAACCUCCGCGCCACCCUGUCCCCUCCCGUAUAUGACGGACCACCCCCUCCGUGGGGCUCUACGUACAUCCCAGGGGUCACCCCACCCCCGCCCCGACUCCUUUCCCCCAAGUCAGGAGCUUGCUGUCUGCGGGAAGGACCGAAUGAAUAUGAAAUCUGUCCUCGUUGCUAACUAGGGCGCAGAACGUGUUUCUCCUUUAAAAGCAGUUCACGUGGGCCUUAGAUGGGUGUGUACUCCCUCUGUGUGUUCUGGGAGGACGGGUGGGGGGCAUCGGUGGCCCAGGCCGUGUGUUCCCCUAACGGCUGACCCGGGAGGGCGGCAGGACCACAGACACCCCGCGCAGAUUCUUUACCAUCUGAGCCACCAGGGGGAGCCCAUGAGACCCCCCCCAUACGCAUAGUGCUUCUGGAAAGCUCAGAAAUGAAGGACCGACAACUGGGGAUCAGCUGUGUCCCAGGCAGACGUGUGAAGAAAGGCAAGUGCAGGAAGAAAAGGCAAGUCCAGGGUCUCACCUGGUUUGCAGCAGCCGGAGACCCUGCUCAGGAGCCCGUGGAGUCGGUCGUCCGGCCAGUCGUGCAGGAGGCUGCAGACAAUGUACAGG
Long non-coding RNA from Bubalus bubalis (water buffalo), 723 nucleotides. RefSeq lists it as uncharacterized. The transcript is spliced from 3 exons. NCBI's taxonomy places the organism in Eukaryota, Metazoa, Chordata, Mammalia, Artiodactyla, Bovidae. The record is from RefSeq and is a predicted model, not a curated record.